This 442-nucleotide ribosomal RNA is filed under the name uncultured bacterium. RNAcentral's name for it is "partial 16S ribosomal RNA". It matches the Rfam family "Bacterial small subunit ribosomal RNA", at positions 339 to 795 of the family's 1533-position model. The record is from RNAcentral.
CUACGGGGGGCUCCAGCAAGGAAUAUUGUACAAUGGGGGAAACCCUGAUACAGCAACGCCGCGUGAAGGAAGAAGGCCUUCGGGUUGUAAACUUCUGUUUUAGAGGACGAAUAAAGUGACGGUACUCUUAGAGGAAGCCCCGGCAAACUACGUGCCAGCAGCCGCGGUAACACGUAGGGGGCAAGCGUUGUCCGGAAUCACUGGGCGUAAAGGGCGCGUAGGCGGUUUAUUAAGUUGCAUGUGAAAUCCCAGGGCUCAACUCUGGACCUGCAUGCAAAACUGGUAGACUUGAGUAUGGUAGAGGCAAGUGGAAUUCCUAGUGUAGCGGUGGAAUGCGUAGAUAUUAGGAGGAACACCAGUGGCGAAGGCGACUUGCUGGGCCAAAACUGACGCUGAGGCGCGAAAGCGUGGGGAGCAAACAGGAUUAGAUACCCCUGUAGUC